AUUGAACGCUGGCGGCAUGCCUUACACAUGCAAGUCGAACGGCAGCACGGGAGCAAUCCUGGUGGCGAGUGGCGAACGGGUGAGUAAAGUAUCGGAACGUGCCCAGUCGUGGGGGAUAACGCAGCGAAAGUUACGCUAAUACCGCAUACGAUCUAUGGAUGAAAGCGGGGGAUCGCAAGACCUCGCGCGAUUGGAGCGGCCGAUAUCAGAUUAGGUAGUUGGUGGGGUAAAGGCUCACCAAGCCGACGAUCUGUAGCUGGUCUGAGAGGACGACAAGCCACACUGGGACUGAGACACGGCCCAGACUCCUACGGGAGGCAGCAGUGGGGAUUUUUGGACAAUGGGCGCAAGCCUGAUCCAGCCAUGCCGCGUGCAGGAUGAAGGCCUUCGGGUUGUAAACUGCUUUUGUACGGAACGAAAAGGUUUGGCUUAAUACGUUGAACUCAUGACGGUACCGUAAGAAUAAGCACCGGCUAACUACGUGCCAGCAGCCGCCGUAA
RNAcentral lists this ribosomal RNA (500 nucleotides) under uncultured bacterium. Its description in RNAcentral is "partial 16S ribosomal RNA". It matches the Rfam family "Bacterial small subunit ribosomal RNA", at positions 30 to 523 of the family's 1533-position model. The record is from RNAcentral.